CCUACGAGUGGCAGCAGUCGAGAAUCAUUCACAAUGGGGGAAACCCUGAUGGUGCGACGCCGCGUGGGGGAAUGAAGGUCUUCGGAUUGUAAACCCCUGUCAUGUGGGCGCAAAUUAAAAAGAUAGUACCACAAGAGGAAGAGACGGCUAACUCUGGUCCAGCAGCCGCGGUAAUACAGAGCGCUCAAGCGUUGUUCGGAAUCACUGGGCGUAAAGCGUGCGUAGGCUGUUUCGUAAGUCGUGUGUGAAAGGCGCGGGCUCAACCCGCGGACGGCACAUGAUACUACGAGACUAGAGUGAUGGAGGGGGAGCCGGAAGUCGCGGUGUAGCAGUGAAAUGCGUAGAUAUCGAGAGGAACACUCGUGGCGAAGGCGGGUUCCUGGACAUUAACUGACGCUGAGGCACGAAGGCCAGGGGAGCGAAAGGGAUUAGAUACCCGAGUAGUC
Molecule: ribosomal RNA, 446 nt
Filed under: uncultured bacterium
Lineage: Bacteria
Description: partial 16S ribosomal RNA
Rfam family: Bacterial small subunit ribosomal RNA
Source: RNAcentral